GACGAACGCUGGCGGCGUGCUUAACACAUGCAAGUCGAACGGUAAGGCGCUGCUCUUGUUGUUUUCUCGAGUGGCGAAAACGUGUGUGUCACGUGUGUAACCUGCCCUUUACUUUGGGAUAACAUUAGUAAACUGGGGCUAUUAUCGCAUAUAAGCUCCUGCUGCAUGGUGGGUGUUGGAAAGUUUCGGCGUUUCGGGACGAAAUGGGGGCGUAUCAGCUUGUUGGUGGGGUGGUGGCUUAACAAGGCUUUGACGGGUAGCGGGCUUGCGAGGGUGACCGGCCACAUUGGGACUGAGAGACGGCCAAGACUACUACGGGAGGCAGUAGGGGGGAAUAUUGCACAAUGGGCCGAAGCGUGAGGCAGCAACGCCGCGGGAGGGAUAACGGCUGUCGGGUGUUAAACCGCGGUGGGCGGGGACGAAGCGUGAGUGACGGUAAUGGGUUAAGAAGCACCGGCUAACUACGUG
Molecule: ribosomal RNA, 468 nt
Filed under: uncultured bacterium
Lineage: Bacteria
Description: partial 16S ribosomal RNA
Rfam family: Bacterial small subunit ribosomal RNA
Source: RNAcentral